RNAcentral lists this unclassified non-coding RNA (338 nucleotides) under soil metagenome. RNAcentral describes it as "partial contains 5.8S ribosomal RNA, internal transcribed spacer 2, and large subunit ribosomal RNA". The stretch from base 6 to 121 matches the Rfam family "5.8S ribosomal RNA", at positions 39 to 154 of the family's 154-position model. The record is from RNAcentral.
GAUGAAAGAACGUAGCGAAAUGCGAUAAGUAGUGUGAAUUGCAGAAUUCAGUGAAUCAUCGAAUCUUUGAACGCACAUUGCGCCCCUUGGUAUUCCAUGGGGCAUGCCUGUUCGAGCGUCAUUUGUACCUUCAAGCUCUGCUUGGUGUUGGGUGUUUGUCUCGCCUCUGCGUGUAGACUCGCCUCAAAACAAUUGGCAGCCGGCGUAUUGAUUUCGGAGCGCAGUACAUCUCGCGCUUUGCACUCAUAACGACGACGUCCAAAAGUACAUUUUUACACUCUUGACCUCGGAUCAGGUAGGGAUACCCGCUGAACUUAAGCAUAUCAAUAAGCGGAGGA